GAUGAAGAACGCAGCGAAAUGCGAUAAGUAAUGUGAAUUGCAGAAUUCAGUGAAUCAUCGAAUCUUUGAACGCACAUUGCGCCCGCCAGUAUUCUGGCGGGCAUGCCUGUUCGAGCGUCAUUUCAACCAUCAAGCCCCCGGCUUGUGUUGGGGACCUGCGGCUGCCCGCAGGCCCUGAAAACCAGUGGCGGGCUCGCUGUCACUCCGAGCGUAGUAGCAUAUAUCUCGCUCAGGGCGUGCUGCGGGUUCCGGCCGUUAAAAGCCUUUUUUUACCCAAGGUUGACCUCGGAUCAGGUAGGAAGACCCGCUGAACUUAAGCAUAUCAAUAAGCGGAGA
RNAcentral lists this unclassified non-coding RNA (336 nucleotides) under soil metagenome. RNAcentral describes it as "partial contains 5.8S ribosomal RNA, internal transcribed spacer 2, and large subunit ribosomal RNA". The stretch from base 1 to 120 matches the Rfam family "5.8S ribosomal RNA", at positions 35 to 154 of the family's 154-position model. The record is from RNAcentral.